CAGCACACUUUGCCUGAGAAGGCUUUGUCAAUUAGCCUACUUAAGGUAAUUUUUUACAUCACUGCUCUCAAAUGUAAAUUUUAAGGCCUAUUUUAUUCUAAAUAAAAUGUGUUAGUUACAAUCUUGAUAUUACAGACAACGAAUUCUUACAGGCAGAGCUUCACCACUAGAUGACAGUGUUAAACUGUAUGGCAGGAUAAGGCGCAGACGUGGCUAGUUCAGCUACGUGUAACCCUGUAUAAGCGGAGGACUUAUCAGUGGAGGGGGUGGAACUCACACCAAUGAGGCAUGACCCCAAUGAGAAACCGAUUGGCCAGCUAGACAAGAUCAAUCUUCCAGAAUCAAUUUUGAGGAAAGAACAAUGUUUCUUGUCGGCGUGUACGCAUGUGCAGCGGCGCAGGGUGAGGCCGAGAGCUGUGGGAGAGGAACAAGUCCCAUGGAGGAGCUCCAGAAGGAUAAAAGAAGGAGUGAUGACAAUGAAAGGCAAGAGAGGAUCAGGCCUGGGACUUUACGUUUAUGUGGCAGUUGGCCAUGAGGGGUCAGCACGUGAGAUUUAUGUGAUGAGACUGGUCCGUGUGCACUUCCUCCCUUCUCUGGCCUUGUCAGAUCUGGUUGCAGACAGAGGGCAAAAACAUUUGUCAUCCGUGUGAGAUUCUCACCACAGGCUUUCAUCUGCUUUAACAUAAUAUGGAUGCAUGGGCAUAGCAUUUGUAUGCUGGCUGAUGUAAAACCAUUAUUUGCCAUUAACCAUCAGACAAAAAUGAUUUGGAUGUUUUUGCUUAUAGUCUAAUAAUAAGUGUGAGGCAGUAGUAAUGUAUGUAGAGGGUUGUCUUAGUUGACAUAAAAUUAUAAGCACUGUAAUGUGACACUAUAGUUCGUCUUAAGAGUUUUUAAACAAUUUUCAGAUACUUGUGUAUUUAUGACCUCUUUUUGAGGAUCGUGUUUGGGUGAGCUGUAGCUGUGUUGGUUUUAUAAUCAAAGUCACAUUUGAGUCAUGCAUCUCGGUUCACCCUUUCACCCACAAUUCAUCAUCUCAUUCCGACCGAUAUACGAUAUCUAAUUUAUUUAUAUUUUUCUAAUACUUGUGUAAUUAUUAUUAUGACCUCAUUUUUGAGGAUACUUUGAAGAUUUGUACUUUAAAAAAUAAAAAAAAAAAAAUAAAUAAAAAAAAAAAAAAAUCAGACUACAGGAAUUAGCUGUAAGAAAAGAUAAAAUAAAGUUAAAUUAAAUUAAAUAGAAUAAAAAUGUAAUCAAAUGGUGACCAGUUUAAGUACUAGUAAAAUAAAAUAAAAUAAAAUACAUUUGUCACAAUCCUGGGGUAUUUAAGAAAGCUAAAAGAAAAAAUAAAUAAAUAAAAUAAAAUAAAACUCAUUUAUUUUAUUAAAAUUGAAUUGCAUUUGUCACAAUGCUGGGCUAUUUAAAUGAACAAGGAAGCUAACAGACAGACAGACAGACAAACAAACAAUAAAUAAUAAAUAAAUAAUAAUAAUAAAUAUAAAAUUAAAAAUAAAAUAUAAAAUAAAAUGCAUUCGUCAAAUGUUGGUCUAUUUAACUGAACAAGAAAGCUAAAAUAAAAUAAAAUAAUAAAAAUAAAAAAAAAUUAAAAUUGAAUUGCAUUUGUCACAAUGCUGGGCUAUUUAAUUGAACAAGAAAGAUAAAAGACAAAAAAAUACAUAUAUAAAAUACAUUAAAAUAAAAUAAAAUAAGUUGAAUUGAAUUAAAUUAAAUAAAAAAAAAUAAUUAAAUGAUGAUCAGUUAAAGUACUUACAGAUGAAAAUACAACAACACAAAAUAAUAAAAUAAAAUAAAAUAAAAUAAAUUGAAUUAAACUGAAUGAAAUUCUAGCCAGUUACAGUACUUGCAGGUUAAAAUAAAAUAAAAUAAAAUAAAAUAAUGCAUUUGUCAUAAUGCUGGGCUAUUUAAGUGACCAAGAAAGCUAAAUAUAAAAUAAAAUAAAAAUAAAACUCAUUUAUUUUAUUAAAAUUGAAUUGCAUUUGUCACAAUACUGGGCUAUUUUAACAAAAAAAUAAAUAAAUAAAAUAAAAUAAAAUAAAUUUUGUUGAAUUUAAUUCAUUUAAUUGAAUUAAAUUAUGACCAGUACUUUACAGAUGAAAAUAAAAUAAAUUGAAUUGAACUGAAUUAAAUGAUGACCAGUUACAGUACUUGCAGAUUAACAUUAAAAUAAUAAAAUAAAAUAAAACAAAAUAAAAUGGUUACCAGUUACAGUACCUACUUUACACUUUCAUAUUUUUAACUAAACCCUUAACAUUGAGGGAAAACAAUGUGAAAAUGUCCAUGUUUAAUUUGUCAAAUACUCCUUCACAGCAAUUAAAUAUGUAGUUUUAAAAUGUCAUCCAUUGCUACUGUUUUUACUCUGUGUUUUCCAUUGGGAUUUCUGGGGUUAGUGUAAAGGGUGGGAACAACGGAGUAUUCCGGUGGGAAGACAAUUCCUGUAGGACAGGUCCUUCUCACUAAGAAAUCUGACUCAGGUGUCAACUGGAGUCAUGUCCCCUGGCCAAACCAUAGUCGUCCCCUCCCCAACCCCCACCCAGGGCCCACUUUACCUCUGCUUGCCCCUCUGUCUGUCAGCUAAACCCACUCCACUGAGGCCUUAAUGCAGAACCAGAUGUGCUGGCUGAGUCCUGAAACAUUCUCUUCCCACUGACAUCUUAACCUGAAAGGUGUGUGUGUGUCUGUGUGUGUGUGUGCGUGUGUGGGAGAGAGAGGUCAAACUUUAGCCUGGCCUCUAAGUGAGUGUAGAUUACUUUUGAAGGUUGUGUUUAUUGCUUCAGCACUGAUUGUGUAUUUUGUUGUAUGUUUUUAUCCUGUACAAGAAGAACCACAAAAAGUUUAGAUUUUUUAGUUUUUAUUCCAUUUAGUUUUAAUAAGGCAUUACAAUCCUAAUCACAAAGCAAAUGUCUCUGAUAUUCAUUAUUUUGAUCAUAAUGGGAUGUGCAUGUUUUGACCGCAUUUCUUACGCGUUGUGUUUGGGUGAGCUGUAGCUGUAUUGGUUUUAUAAUCAAAGUCACAUUUGAGUCAUGCAUCUCGGUUCACCCUUUCACCCACAAUUCAUCAUCUCAUUCCGACCGAUAUACGAUAUCUAAUUUAUCAACACAUGCCCAAUCUAAGCAGCCCCACACAUGUGCGAGCAAUUAGGCUAUAGAACAGUUGCUAACACAAACACCUUCUGAUAGAUGACACUCUAAAUGUAAGGCCAAACCAUGGCAAACAUG
Long non-coding RNA from Megalobrama amblycephala (Wuchang bream), 3233 nucleotides. RefSeq lists it as uncharacterized. Lineage: Eukaryota; Metazoa; Chordata; Actinopteri; Cypriniformes; Xenocyprididae. The record is from RefSeq and is a predicted model, not a curated record. The transcript has 4 exons.